GGAUCCAUAGCUCAGCUGGGAGAGCAUCUGCCUUACAAGCAGGGGGUCACAGGUUCGAGCCCUGUUGGGUCCA
Molecule: transfer RNA, 73 nt
Organism: Peptoanaerobacter stomatis
Lineage: Bacteria; Bacillati; Bacillota; Clostridia; Peptostreptococcales; Filifactoraceae
Rfam family: tRNA
About the family: Transfer RNA (tRNA) molecules are approximately 80 nucleotides in length. Their secondary structure includes four short double-helical elements and three loops (D, anti-codon, and T loops).
Source: Rfam